This is a long non-coding RNA of Bubalus bubalis (water buffalo), 1454 nucleotides long. RefSeq lists it as uncharacterized. The transcript is spliced from 2 exons. The record is from RefSeq and is a predicted model, not a curated record. NCBI's taxonomy places the organism in Eukaryota, Metazoa, Chordata, Mammalia, Artiodactyla, Bovidae.
AGCUCCUCUGUGCUCUCGCGAUAUCGCAGUCUCCUGCAUUCCCAGACAGGACUGUGGCCAUGACAAUGCCGUGAGAUGGCUGGGAAGAGCCUUGCUGCUCCCUUCUCUGCUCUUAGCUCGCUGGUCUCGGGAGGGACAUUUGGGGAAACAUUCGUAGCAGCUACCGAAGCCAUUUAUUUCGAGAGUCCUCCUUGUUUCUCUCCUGCUCGGCAUUGACUGCCAGCUGACGUUUUUCCUUGGAAGAACGCAAAGAUUCUUUUGGAAGCUCCAAGACCGAUAAAGCACUGCAGGGCUGCCCUGGUGGUCCAGUGGUGAAGAAUCUGCCUUGCAAUGCAGAGGACACCAGUUCCACCCUGGUCCUGGAAGACUCACGUGCCAUGGGGCAGCUAAGGCCAUGCCCACAACUGCUGAGACUGUGCAGUAGUAGAGCCUGGGAGCCACAACCACCGAAGCCCACAUGCCUUAAAAUCCGUCACAACAGGAGAAGCCACCACAGUGAGAAGCCCACACCCCACAGCUGGAGAGGAGCCCUCGCUCUCCACAACUAGAGAAAGCCCACACGCACUGCAACAAAGACCCAGCAGAGCCAACAAAUAAAUAAUGAGAAAGAAAGACAAUGCGAUGUAAUUACUAUUACACUUUCACUUUGCAAGAAUAAAUUGUCUUCAGGGAUCUCCUCAUUUACCUGUUUUCGUACUUGUGUGUGGAAGUUCACUCAAAGGUCUACCGCUGUCCUCAUGUACCAGUUUGGGGUGUAAGCAAGCCGUAAAUUGAAGCUGUCUACUCCUGUGAGAAAGGUUGACACCACCAUUACUCUUUUCAUUUUAGAGGAGAUGAUUGUCGUAAACAAGGUCGUCACUUUUUUAAAAAAUCCAUACAGCUUAUGAGUUAUUUUGAUGUAACCAUUUGAAUUUUCUGCCCUAGAAAAAAUAUUUUGAUGCUAGGUAUCAAUAUAUGGAAGGAAAAUAUUCACCAUGCUGUUCAUUUUUGUUUUAUGUAUCCCUCAGCACGAAAGAAGACUUUUAUGAUGUUUUUCCAUUAAUGUGUUUGUUUAAGGAAAGCUGGAGUUCAGCAAGCAUUUUUCUUGUCUCUUUGAUUCAUAGACUCUCUAAGGCCCUUGCUUCUUAAUGCAGGGCAUAUUGAUAUACCGAUUUAAUAUAGUAACAGCAUUAUUGAGAUAUACCUCUCCGACGCCAUCAGGAACAGUGAAUCAGAUAAAACAUUUGCAAUAUUAAAAUCAAUUAAAAUUUUAAAAAACUGUUAAAUUGCAUUCAGGAUGGAAUCAAUUUAUGGAGCUUAUGGUUUCUGAGCAAUUAAGGGAGAAAAUUAGACUGGGAUUUCUUGUUUCUCGUGCUCUUUUAGCCAAACUUGUUGUUUCCAUAAGUUAAGUAUUACCAAUGCCUUCUAUUGAAGGCUUCUGUAAACUUUUCUAUUAAAAAUGAUGGCUUAAACUU